CGAUGUGAAAAAAUAUCGAUGUAACAGCGAUUUUCAGAUGCAAUAUCACGCCUUUUCGAUGCUCGAUUACAUCUGCUUUGAAAUCACACAGAAAUAUGAUAACAUUUUUUUAUUACGCCAAAGUUGUGUAAUAUCAACAUCCAUUAAACGUGAUUAUUACACAAACACAGCUGCAACCAAGUGGGUACAAUGCAGUUGUGUACAAUUACACUAAAUCGAUGCCAUAUCGCAUCCCCUCACGAUACGAUAUUAAAUCUCGCAACACUGUGGUGAUUGUUUAUGAUCGGUCUGCGCAAGCGAGCCAAGCCGCCAUGUUUUAGCAGUUUUCAAAUCGAGUGCAGUAGUUCUUUCAUCAUUAUUAUUCGGAUUUUGUAGAAACAGCCAGUAAUUUUCGAAGCAUCAGCUUGGACAUCAGUUCCAACAUCGCAGCUUGACCAAAAUAUUGGUCGCCGACUCGGUCGCCGAUUUGCUGCUGCGUUUGAUCUGGUUGAUUCCCCGCCCAAUUCGAUUCCCGACAUACGGAUAUGCUCUUCCCAAGGUCAUUUAGGGGCCCUUCAGCCAGAUUUUUUUUGGGACAAAGGUCUGAGGAACUGCACGACCAGGAAAUUUAAACUGAUGAGCCCCAAUUGACCCAGGUGACGGAACACUUCGACACCAAAAUAGAAGGACCGACCGUCAAACUAAUCAGAGCAGGACAAGUCAAACUGUUUGAAAAUGUCUUUUCGAUUUUCGGAUCGGUUCUCGUACCUUGUUCGGAUGUGGCUACAACGAGUUUGAGCAAUUUGGAGAAUGUUCGGAUCACGGUGUGGCGGUUCUCAAGAGUCUCAUGCAAGAGGCAGAACAAGAUCCUGAAGGCAGUGUGUUGGCUAUCUGGAAGUGCCAGGCCACCCAGUGUGAAUCCCGAAUUCCUACCCAAAAACUGGAAUUUCUCGACCACGCCCGAUGGUGAUGCGUGGACACGGGGAUAUUUUAAAACCGAUGCGCAGGAACUGGCGUGAAACCUAUCGGAUGCUCCAGGAAACAUCACUUUGACGGCUUGAGCUCAAGCGGCCGUGGACUCCCUGUGCCCUUGUGGUGUCAGGGGGUGGAUGGACUCAAAGAGCAUGAAAAGCUUUCUGGUGAUAGCAGUGGAAAUAAUACGGUAGGUAAUAUGUGAUACUCAAAGCGAAGUUCGAGGGUACUCUAUGCCCUUGCCCAGAGAUGAGUUCAUUGAAAAUGUGACCUUGGAUGUGACUAAGCUUGAAUUAUAGCUUCCAGGAAGCUUCAAGUUUUCUGAUGUAGUGUUACUAAUCAUGCUGCUACAUAGGUACCUAGUACAUCGAACAUUUGUCAAUGUCAUUUAUGUACAGGGAAAAUACAAUCAUAAGUUGGUGAGAAUAUUACAAACUGAUGGAGGGUAAUAAGUCCUAUCAGACCCCUGAGUGGGCCAUAUGGGCUAGUGUGUGGGAAUGCCUUUACAUAUUUGUAAUACUCUCGAGGCUUCGAAAUCUAAUGGGGCGAGGUUUCCGGGUUGCGGAUAGAAAGAAAAGGUAUAUCUCUCGCAUUAUUACUAAAAAUAGCAUAUGUGAUAUUAUCUCUUGUAUUAUCUUCUAUAGAGUUUUAGUACGAUUACCGUAAACGCACCAAACUUUGCGCACUUCUGAAAAGAUCGUUAAACAAUAUUGCUGAUGCAUAAUGCAAACUUUUUUUUCAUUGAGUACUAGCAUUGGCGUAACUAGGAUUUUUUCCUGGAGGGGGCCCAGGGGGGGCCUGACUUGAGAUGAAUUUUAAGCGGGAUGGGCGCCUAAUAUA
Molecule: long non-coding RNA, 1791 nt
Organism: Aedes albopictus (Asian tiger mosquito)
Lineage: Eukaryota; Metazoa; Arthropoda; Insecta; Diptera; Culicidae
Exons: 4
Source: RefSeq, a predicted model, not a curated record